CUAAGAACCCAACCAAUCUCUCCCCUUUCCUCAACCCCAAUUAGGCGUCCCCCGUUUUAUGUUCACUAAACAAUCGAGGUCGCCAUGUGAUGCAGAGAAUUGAAAGGGAAAACUACAUGGGUGUUAGAUUAUCCUAGAAUUCUAAACAUGACAGAAGGUCACCAAAAUUUAGGCCGCCUUUUACACACAAUCGACUGCCAUAUUUAAUCUAUUCUCUGUAAUUCUCAAACAUCCGGUUGAAGAUAUUAAGAUUUUGUAUUAUCCACCAUUCUCGGGACAAUGAAAUAUGGCAAUUAGGAAAAGAUUGCAAAAGAUGUUCACCUAACGGCUGGCUGAGAAGGGUACAUCAUUUGUGAAACACUUCCUACAAUUAUAGUAGUAGUCGCAUGACUCCUGUAUUUCUUCAAGAUAUUAUAUGAGUUCUUGGAAGAAGAGUUUAGAGGAAUGUGAGAGCAACUAAUUUAGAGGAAUCCUGGACUUGAGGAAAACACAAACACUAAAGCUAAAACUAUGACCGACGAUGAUUGUUUUGGAACUUUCAAGGGAAAGUUUAUGUAAUUGAAUGUUGAAGUAACUAUGUGUUUGAUUCAAAUUGUUUGUACUGUACUGGGAAUUAAAGUAUUGGAAUGAGCGUCGAUGUUACUUUGAAUACAUUAUUGUUAAUUAAUUAUUUUCUUUUAAUA
This is a long non-coding RNA of Nicotiana tabacum (common tobacco), 683 nucleotides long. RefSeq lists it as uncharacterized. The record is from RefSeq and is a predicted model, not a curated record. Lineage: Eukaryota; Viridiplantae; Streptophyta; Magnoliopsida; Solanales; Solanaceae.